UACGGAGGGCGCGAGCGUUAUCCGGAAUUACUGGGUUUAAAGGGUGCGUAGGCGGCUUGGUAAGUCAGGCGUGAAAGCCCCGGGCUCAACCUGGGAACCGCGCUUGAGACUGGCACGCUAGAGUUCGGGAGAGGAUGGUGGAAUUCCCAGUGUAGAGGUGAAAUUCGUAGAUAUUGGGAAGAACACCGAUGGCGAAGGCAGCCAUCUGGACCGACACUGACGCUGAGGCGCGAAAGCGUGGGGAGCAAACAGG
RNAcentral lists this ribosomal RNA (253 nucleotides) under uncultured bacterium. Its description in RNAcentral is "partial 16S ribosomal RNA". It matches the Rfam family "Bacterial small subunit ribosomal RNA", at positions 524 to 776 of the family's 1533-position model. The record is from RNAcentral.